This 431-nucleotide ribosomal RNA is filed under the name uncultured marine eukaryote. RNAcentral's name for it is "SSU rRNA". It matches the Rfam family "Eukaryotic small subunit ribosomal RNA", at positions 1 to 435 of the family's 1831-position model. The record is from RNAcentral.
UCUGGUUGAUCCUGCCAGUAGUCAUAUGCUUGUCUCAAAGAUUAAGCCAUGCAUGUCUAAGUACAAGCCUCACUAAGGUGAAACCGCGAAUGGCUCAUUAAAUCACACCUAAUCUACUGGAUAGUAAACAGUUACUUGGAUAACUGCGGUAAUUCUGGAGCUAAUACAUGCACAAAGCCGCGACUCACGAAGCGGCGCUUUUAUUAGAUCAAAACCAAACGGCUUCGGCUGUACUCAUGGUGACUUUGAAUAACUUUGGGCUGAUCGCAUAGCCUUGAGCUGGCGACAUAUCCUUCGAAGGUGUGCCCUAUCAACUUUCGACUGUGGCAUAGACGCCCACAGUGGUUUUGACGGGUAACGGGGAAUCAGGGUUCGAUUCCGGAGAGGGAGCCUUAAAAACGGGUACCACAUCUAAGGAAGGCAGCAGGCAC